Molecule: ribosomal RNA, 387 nt
Filed under: uncultured bacterium
Lineage: Bacteria
Description: bacterial SSU rRNA
Rfam family: Bacterial small subunit ribosomal RNA
Source: RNAcentral
GGGGAGUACGGCCGCAAGGUUAAAACUCAAAAGAAUUGACGGGGGCUCGCACAAGCGGUGGAGCAUGUGGCUUAAUUCGAUGCAACGCGAAAAACCUUACCGGGGUUUGACAUGGUAGAAGUAGGAGCCCGAAAGGGUAACCAACGGUAUCCAGUCCGUAACUACUGCAGGUGUUGCAUGGCUGUCGUCAGCUCGUGUCGUGAGACGUUGGGUUAAGUCCCCUAACGAGCGAAACCCUUAUUUUUAGUUACCAUCGGGUUAUGCCGGGUACUCUAGAAAGACUGCCGUCGUCAAGACGGAGGAAGGUGGGGAUGACGUCAAGUCAUCAUGGCCCUUAUACCCCGGGCUGCACACGUGCUACAAUGGUCGGUACAAAAGGAAGUAAGA